This 257-nucleotide long non-coding RNA is filed under the name Carica papaya (papaya). RNAcentral's name for it is "long non-coding RNA (CPAP_LNC006828)". Lineage: Eukaryota; Viridiplantae; Streptophyta; Magnoliopsida; Brassicales; Caricaceae. The record is from RNAcentral.
CGAACUGUAUGAGUUACAGGAGGACAUACAAACUAUCUAUUGUUGAAAGGGAGGCAUUAAAAACCUACCAAGUCACCAAAGAUAGUGAUGUUCUACCAAAUAAAAGAGAUAAUAGGAGUUAUCCUAUUAUUUUAGAUGGUAGAAACUUGGCUACAAAUGAUAAUCUACUAAAAAAUGGGGUUAGUCCUCAAGAUUCAAUCUUGAAAUAUGAAGUUGGUCUUCAAAUUUCUAAUCCCACGCUAAGGGACAGUGGGAGA